This 468-nucleotide ribosomal RNA is filed under the name uncultured bacterium. RNAcentral's name for it is "partial 16S ribosomal RNA". It matches the Rfam family "Bacterial small subunit ribosomal RNA", at positions 28 to 507 of the family's 1533-position model. The record is from RNAcentral.
GACGAACGCUGGCGGCGUGCCUAACACAUGCAAGUCGAACGGAAAGGCCCGGCUCUUGUGGGGUGCUCGAGUGGCGAACGGGUGAGUAACACGUGAGUAUCCUGCCCUUGACUAUCGGAUAACAUCAGGAAACUCCGGCUAAUACCGGAUAGGAGCUCCUGCUGCAUGUUGGGGGUUGGAGAGUUUCGGCGGUUGGGGAUGGACUAGCGGCUUAUCAGCUUGUUGGUGUGGUAGUGGCUUACCAAGGCUUUGACGGGUAGCCGGCCUGAGAGGGUGACCGGGGACAAUGGGACUGAGAUACGGCGCAGACUGCUACGGGAGGCAACGGUGGAGAAUCUUGCAGAAUGGGCGGAAGCGUGAGGCAGAGACGCCGCGUGCGUGAUGACGGCUUUCGGGGUGUGAACCGCUUUCGCCUGUGACGAAGCGGGAGUGACGGUACUGGGUAAGAAAGCACCGGCUAACUACGUG